CUGCUGCCGCGCGAGGACUGAACCAGGCUCGCUCUUUCAGCGGCUUGCUUUCGGAAAUCCAAACCUCCAUCAGGACGGAACCUUUCACUGAGCACUUCACCGUUAUCCCUGGCAACGAACUGGGCCGGUAAACCCGACGAGGAAUACACCUCCAAAUCAAGAUGUUUGUUAGGUACAAAGGAGCAGACGGG
Molecule: long non-coding RNA, 191 nt
Organism: Girardinichthys multiradiatus
Lineage: Eukaryota; Metazoa; Chordata; Actinopteri; Cyprinodontiformes; Goodeidae
Exons: 3
Source: RefSeq, a predicted model, not a curated record